CAAAACACUGUCCGGUCCUGUG
Molecule: microRNA, 22 nt
Filed under: Echinops telfairi (small Madagascar hedgehog)
Lineage: Eukaryota; Metazoa; Chordata; Mammalia; Afrosoricida; Tenrecidae
Description: Ete-Novel-2_5p (mature (guide))
Source: RNAcentral